Molecule: ribosomal RNA, 254 nt
Filed under: uncultured bacterium
Lineage: Bacteria
Description: partial 16S ribosomal RNA
Rfam family: Bacterial small subunit ribosomal RNA
Source: RNAcentral
CACGUAGGGUGCGAGCGUUGUCCGGAAUUAUUGGGCGUAAAGAGCUCGUAGGCGGUGUGUCGCGUCGGCCGUGAAAACCUGUGGCUUAACUGUGGGCUUGCGGUCGAUACGGGCAUCACUGGAGUUCGGCGGGGGAGACUGGAACUCCUGGUGUAGUGGUGAAAUGCGUAGAGAUCCGGAGGAACCCCAGAGGCGAAGGCGGCAUUCUGGCUCGCAACUGACGCUCAGACACGACAGCAUGGGGAGCGAACGGG